UUUGAUCUUUUGAUCUAUUGAGAAAUACACAAGAACUCUCUUGAGAAGUUCAUCUCUUGGAUUUUGAUUGUUAUGUUCUUGUGUUAUUGUUGAUUUCUUAUCUAUUUCUCUACAUGAUUAAUCUGAAAUCCAAUAUGGGUUUAAGAGGAAUCAUGGAGAUUAGUGAGUAAUCACUUUGUGAAUUCAUAGGUUAGGGAGAUUAAGGGUGAUUAGGUUAGAGCUAGGAUGUUUUAGUGUAGAUCAUUCAUAUUUCCUUGCUAGUAGAGUAAUCAUAAUGCAUCUUCU
This 285-nucleotide long non-coding RNA is filed under the name Brassica rapa (field mustard). RNAcentral describes it as "long non-coding RNA (BRAP_LNC002681)". The record is from RNAcentral. Lineage: Eukaryota; Viridiplantae; Streptophyta; Magnoliopsida; Brassicales; Brassicaceae.